UAGCUCAGUUGGUAGAGCAUGGGACUUUUAAUCCCAGGGUUGUGGGUUUGAGUUGCAU
RNAcentral lists this transfer RNA (58 nucleotides) under Cariama cristata (Red-legged seriema). It matches the Rfam family "tRNA", at positions 8 to 63 of the family's 71-position model. From Rfam's summary of the family: Transfer RNA (tRNA) molecules are approximately 80 nucleotides in length. Their secondary structure includes four short double-helical elements and three loops (D, anti-codon, and T loops). Lineage: Eukaryota; Metazoa; Chordata; Aves; Cariamiformes; Cariamidae. The record is from Rfam by way of RNAcentral.